GUAUCGCAAUGGAUAGCGCGUUCGAUUUUUAAUCCAGAAGUUGUGGGUUCGAAUCCCACCUUCA
This is a non-coding RNA of Trichonephila clavata, 64 nucleotides long. Lineage: Eukaryota; Metazoa; Arthropoda; Arachnida; Araneae; Nephilidae. The record is from the annotation of a GenBank genome assembly.